UUCCAUCGUCCCUGACCGUUGGCCAUGCUGGCUGGCAUUGAUGGAAGUUGUAGUCCAGCAACUUCCAGAGGGCAUAACUCCCCCACCCCUGGUGCAGAAUAUAAAAGCCUAUAUGGGUAGGGAGUGGGAGACUUAUGAGAGAGGAGAGAUUAUAUCUGUGGUGCAGCUCACUUAUCUAGUUCUUUCACUUGAAAGCCUCUUCUCUGCUCCCUUUGCUCCAGAAGCAUGUUGUCAUUUCCCAAAAAUUCCAAUUGCUUCAUCUCUAGUUGCAAGGUUCAGCACUACUGGUAGGUGAAUGACCUGUUGGUGAAAAAUAAGGGCACCCUUUCCCACCAGCCCACGUCACAAAACAAUCAGUCGGCCUCUCCAUUUCAUUUAUGGCACAAUUCCCAGCCAAACCACUUAGGCACUUUGUUAUAAAUACAUCUGCAUUAAUUUUUACUGGUGAGCUGUUUGCUGGUUCUCUUUCAGAGGUCUCCAUAGGCAUAUCCAUAUUGGAUAGCAAGGUUUUGGUUCUGGGGGACAGAGUUUUGCCUUGGGUUACAACUUUUUUUUUAACCUAGUGUUCACAUGAAUCAAAUUCCAAGGUCUUGUGGUGUGAUUAGCAUGGGAUGUGGUUAAGGCAGUGGGGUGAGACUCCCAGCCUUGACUGACAGCACUCAUAGCUUUGGAAAAUAAACCUUCCACACCUGCACCUGUUUGCCAUUCUGCCCCUUAUUAUCUAUUUGCUUUGAGUUCCUCUGGGUAGAGCAUGUAUUUUACCCUGUACUUUCAACCCUGUUUGCCGCAACAGAGCUUCUGGUUGUUACGUGAAAACAAUUCCACCCAAAGUUCCUGCUGGAGGCCCAUGGUGAUAUUUAUAGCAUCCAUAGUGAAUUCCAUAGGAUCAAGAGAUCAGGUCAAGUGAAUGCUUCAGCCCUCAAGCCUUACAGACCACAGCCAAACCAGUCAUGCAGCAGUUGUCUGUCUGCAUCUGGCAACAGUUGCAGGAGAGACUGUCAGAGGACUUUGUUGCAUAUAUUUGUAGAGCUAUGGUUUUAAAAGGUAAAGGACCCCUGGAUGGUUAAAUCCAAUCAAAGGCGACCAUGGGGUGCAGCACUCAUCUUGCUUUCAGGCCGAGGGAGCCGGCGUUUGUCCACAGUCAUGUGGCCAGCAUGACUAAACCGCUUCUGGUGCAACAGGACACUGUGAUGAGUGUGAGAGUGCAUGGAAAAGCUGUUUACCUUCCCACUGCAGCGGUACCUAUUUAUCUACUUGCACUGGUGUGCUUUCGAACGACUAGGUUGGCAGAAGCUAGGACACAGCAAUGGGAGCUCACCAGGGAGCUUACCACCGUUGAGCGAAUUCAAACAGCCAACCUUCCAACUGGCAAGCCCAAGAGGCUCAGUGGUUUAGACCACAGUGUCACCUGCAUCCCUAAGAAUCCUACCAUCCUAGUAUCUAAUAAUUAUUAUUUUUAAGGUGGCUUAUUUCUUAUACUCCCAUCUUGAUGCAAAGUAUUAUCCCUCUGUAGAACUAAAACAACAACCCACAAAUCUCAGGUUGGAAUUAAAAGAAUACUAAGACAGAGGCAUUUGUGGGGAGAGAUAAGAGCUGAAUCCAACUUUCUGGAUCUAGCUGUUUGUUCAGUGGCUACGCCAAUGAGACACCAUACUUGCACUAGAAUAAAGACUUUUCUGAUGUGGCAAGUAGGGAGUUUUUUAGCCGUCUUCUAACAAGAACAGACAUUUCCUUAAUCUUCUGCCAUUCCAGUUCACACUUAGUGAAUAGCCUUCUCAGUGCAGAUGUGGAGCUGGUGGGUGCAGUGACAGAGAGCAGUUCAGCUGUAGAAAGAAGUUAUUCCAUCUACUUUUAUUCCCCUCCCUCUCUAGGUAGACCUUCUGAAUCACCUUCUAGAAACACUGGAUGUUCCUGCUGAAUGAAGACCAGAGAGGACGGUUGAAAUUAUUUGGGCACUACAGCAGCCCAGAGGGCACCCCAAAGAAAGCAAACUGAUAAAGAGUUAAAAUGAAUCCCCCUUGUCUUGGGUGAGGUGAGAAGGUGGUUCUCUUGUUUCCGCAUAGGAAUUCGGAGAGAGGGAAAGAAUGUGCGAAGAGCCUCCUGAGGCACUGGGCAUGGCCCCUGUCCAAGGCUCUUUUCACAUUGUGCUACUGUCUGAGCCCAACGUAAGCAGUGCAAUGUAAAAAGGGCAUUGGGUGGGUGGCCACAGCAGCAUGAAGCCUCUAUACGUCCAUUACUGGCAAUAUUCAGGGGAUAGGCAUGGAGCCUUGCUAUGUGGGGCAAAAGGAAGGUGUAACUGAGAAAACGGAUAGUGCCCAGCAGCAGCAAAACAUAGCUCCUGUGACAGCUGAAGUGCUCCCAUCCACCCCAAAUAUAUAUGGGGCUGUUCAGCAUCAGCUGUUCACAGCCAACAUGGUUUGGCAUCCGAGUGGAAGCUGAAGGGUUGUUGCUUUCUUGCAAAUCACCUUUGACUGUUCUCUUUCCGAGGCGUUACAGCAGCCUAUUGCCUAAUAAAUGUUACCGCUUCUUUAA
This is a long non-coding RNA of Podarcis raffonei (Aeolian wall lizard), 2532 nucleotides long. RefSeq lists it as uncharacterized. The record is from RefSeq and is a predicted model, not a curated record. NCBI's taxonomy places the organism in Eukaryota, Metazoa, Chordata, Lepidosauria, Squamata, Lacertidae. The transcript has 2 exons.